RNAcentral lists this ribosomal RNA (468 nucleotides) under uncultured bacterium. Its description in RNAcentral is "partial 16S ribosomal RNA". It matches the Rfam family "Bacterial small subunit ribosomal RNA", at positions 28 to 507 of the family's 1533-position model. The record is from RNAcentral.
GACGAACGCUGGCGGCGUGCUUAACACAUGCAAGUCGAACGGAAAGGCCCUGCUUUUGUGGGGUGCUCGAGUGGCGAACGGGUGAGUAACACGUGAGUAACCUGCCCUUGACUUUGGGAUAACUUCAGGAAACUGGGGCUAAUACCGGAUAGGAGCUCCUGCUGCAUGGUGGGGGUUGGAAAGUUUCGGCGGUUGGGGAUGGACUCGCGGCUUAUCAGCUUGUUGGUGGGGUAGUGGCUUACCAAGGCUUUGACGGGUAGCCGGCCUGAGAGGGUGUACGGCCACAAUGGGACUGAGAUACGGCCCAGACUCCUACGGGAGGCAGCAGUGGGGAAUAUUGCACAAUGGGCGGAAGCCUGAUGCAGCAACGCCGCGUGCGGGAUGACGGCCUUCGGGUUGUAAACCGCUUUCGCCUGUGACGAAGCGUGAGUGACGGUAAUGGGUAAAGAAGCACCGGCUAACUACGUG